This is a non-coding RNA of Canis lupus familiaris (dog), 83 nucleotides long. NCBI's taxonomy places the organism in Eukaryota, Metazoa, Chordata, Mammalia, Carnivora, Canidae. The record is from Rfam.
GCCUGGGUGGCUCAGUGGUUGAGCAUCUGACUUUAGCUCAGGGCGUAAUCCCGGAGUCCUGGGAUCGAGUCCCACAUCGGGCU